Molecule: ribosomal RNA, 440 nt
Filed under: uncultured bacterium
Lineage: Bacteria
Description: partial 16S ribosomal RNA
Rfam family: Bacterial small subunit ribosomal RNA
Source: RNAcentral
CUACGGGGCGCUCCAGUAGGGAAUAUUGCACAAUGGGCGAAAGCCUGAUGCAGCAACGCCGCGUGCGCGAUGAAGGCCUUCGGGUUGUAAAGCGCUUUUCUGAGGGAAGAGGAAGGACUGUACCUCAGGAAUAAGUCUCGGCUAACUACGUGCCAGCAGCCGCGGUAACACGUAGGAGGCAAGCGUUAUCCGGAUUUACUGGGCGUAAAGCGCGUGUAGGCGGUUUGGCAAGUCGGAUGUGAAAGCUCCUGGCUCAACUGGGAGAGGUCGUUCGAAACUGCCAGACUGGAGGACGGUAGAGGAAGAUAGAAUUCCCGGUGUAGUAGUGAAAUGCGUACAUAUCGGGAUGCACACCAGUCGCCAAGGCCGUCUUCUGGGCCGUUCCUGACACUGAGACCCGAAAGCAUGGGUACCGAACGGGAUUAGAUACCCCAGUAGUC